UGGGGAAUUUUGGACAAUGGGCGAAAGCCUGAUCCAGCAAUGCCGCGUGUGUGAAGAAGGCCUUCGGGUUGUAAAGCACUUUUGUCCGGAAAGAAAUCCUUGGCUCUAAUACAGUCGGGGGAUGACGGUACCGGAAGAAUAAGCACCGGCUAACUACGUGCCAGCAGCCGCGGUAAUACGUAGGGUGCAAGCGUUAAUCGGAAUUACUGGGCGUAAAGCGUGCGCAGGCGGUUUGCUAAGACCGAUGUGAAAUCCCCGGGCUCAACCUGGGAACUGCAUUGGUGACUGGCAGGCUAGAGUAUGGCAGAGGGGGGUAGAAUUCCACGUGUAGCAGUGAAAUGCGUAGAGAUGUGGAGGAAUACCGAUGGCGAAGGCAGCCCCCUGGGCCAAUACUGACGCUCAUGCACGAAAGCGUGGGGAGCAAACAGGAUUAGAUACCCUGGUAGUCCACGCCCUAAACGAUGUCAACUAGUUGUUGGGGAUUCAUUUCCUUAGUAACGUAGCUAACGCGUGAAGUUGACCGCCUGGGGAGUACGGUCGCAAGAUUAAAACUCAAAU
RNAcentral lists this ribosomal RNA (558 nucleotides) under uncultured bacterium. RNAcentral's name for it is "partial 16S ribosomal RNA". It matches the Rfam family "Bacterial small subunit ribosomal RNA", at positions 355 to 906 of the family's 1533-position model. The record is from RNAcentral.